This 484-nucleotide ribosomal RNA is filed under the name uncultured bacterium. Its description in RNAcentral is "partial 16S ribosomal RNA". It matches the Rfam family "Bacterial small subunit ribosomal RNA", at positions 28 to 507 of the family's 1533-position model. The record is from RNAcentral.
AUUGAACGCUGGCGGCAUGCUUUACACAUGCAAGUCGAACGGCAGCGCGGGCUUCGGCCUGGCGGCGAGUGGCGAACGGGUGAGUAAUGCAUCGGAACGUGCCCGGUAGUGGGGGAUAGCCCGGCGAAAGCCGGAUUAAUACCGCAUACGACCUGAGGGUGAAAGCGGGGGACCGAAAGGCCUCGCGCUAUUGGAGCGGCCGAUGUCGGAUUAGCUAGUUGGUGGGGUAAAGGCUUACCAAGGCGACGAUCCGUAGCUGGUCUGAGAGGACGACCAGCCACACUGGGACUGAGACACGGCCCAGACUCCUACGGGAGGCAGCAGUGGGGAAUUUUGGACAAUGGGGGAAACCCUGAUCCAGCCAUGCCGCGUGCGGGAAGAAGGCCUUCGGGUUGUAAACCGCUUUUGUUCGGGAAGAAAUCCUCUGGGCUAAUACCCCGGGGGGAUGACGGUACCGGAAGAAUAAGCACCGGCUAACUACGUG